UCUGAAAAACAUAUUGGAUGAAGAAAUGAAGUCCAAAUUAAAAUGAGGAAGUCCAGUCAGAUGACGAACUUGAACACAAAGAGCAAGCCAUUGAGCACUAGUUGGCCACAGAUGUGGAUUUAAGUUUUCUAGCUGCCAAAAUGUAAAGAGGGAAACACGAUCCUCUGCAGGACUCAACAGUAUCCCUGAGAUCGAAUCUGACAAACUGCUCAGAAGGGGCACCUAUGCUUUUCCCUGAGAUGAAUGUCUCCCAUCGUCAGAUGUCAGAUUCUGGAUCUAUUUUGACAAGAGAGCUCAAAGGAUUUCUUCACAGAUGGAAAUGAGGGGGCUGUGAACCCCUGAUAUCUGAGAGGUGUCUCAGUCAAUUUAGAAAGUUUAUUUUGCCAACGUUAAGGACCCGCCCAUGACAGCCUCAGGAGGUCCUGACGACACGUGCCCAAGGUGGUCAGGGCACAGCCUGCUUCCAUACAUUUUAGUGAGACAUGAAACAUCAAUCAUUUUAUGUAAGAUGUAAAGUGGUUCGGUCGGGGAAGGAUCUUGUGCUGUGAGAGGAUUUGACCUUGGCGUGUGUAAUGGUAGAUGAGAGCUACAAAAUUACAAGUGGCUGAAGACAGUUUACAGGAAAUGGUCAUAGCUGCCCCUCUCUUUUUUCCCCUCUUAGGAAGUUAUUGUUUAGGAUCCGAAUUCUAAUUUGGAGAUGCAUUCUACAGUGUCUUCUCCAUUGCUUUUCCUCCCCAAAUUAAUCUUGUUGUUUUGUGUGUGCAUCUGCGUGAAGAGCUGUACUGUUGUUUUCAUAGAUACAUGAGAGACUGUUUCCUGACCUCCAAAGGGAAAGGGCAUUUUGCUCUUCCCAGCAGAAAGGCACCCCUGGGUGACUUGGAGCCCAGUGGGAGUGUCUGGGGGUGUUGACCCCCGUGACAACCAGCAGCCCUACAGGGAACCUACAACAAAAUAGUUUUAAAAAGCUCAUCCAGGAAAUGCCUAUUAGAGCUGAUCACUUUGCUUUGACCCUCCCAUAGGUGCUAGACCUCCAGAGAGAGAAAAUGAGACACAUAAGGUGGAAAUUACUCUGUGGUGACACACUGUGGAGUCCUGCCCACAACCCGGAUACUUGGACCCACUCCACUGAAACCUUAGGCCACAGCUAAGUUCCUUCCUUCAAAAAAUAAAUCUAAGAAAGAGGAAAAACAGGAAUGACCUCCUUUCAGGCACUCUGUUGGUUUUAUGGCGCCUCUUCUUGCGAAUGUUUGUGUAAAAUUGACAUACUGUGGUCCUUUUCUGCACAAUUACGGCAAGGAAAAUUCAGAUCGCAAAGGUCCACCUUUCAUCUGCAUCUCAUUACCGGGUAGCAGGAAUAAGUAGGCUGACCCUCAGUUUGGACCGGGAACAGCUGUCGGACGUUACUGGGAGGAAUGAGGGCGAGGAAGAGAAAGACGUUAGUCCUCGGACCGUUUCCGAGAGUCAUCUCCGGGAGUAAUGCGAAGAUGGACACGCUCAGUCCUGCCUGUGCAUGCGCGUUCGCGUUGUACGGAAUUCCCAAGCCAGCUGCGUAGUUUCUGCCUUGAAGCUAUUUGGCGAGAAGUUUCGCCUGUUCCUUUACUUUGUGGGUCAGGGCUUGGGUGCUUGAGUGGGAGAAACAGAAAGCCAGCUAGCCCUGGAACCCCUUCUAAGAUCGUCAUCCACCCAGCCAUCCAUAAAUCUGUUCAUCCAUGAAACAAAUAAUCAUUGAGCACCCCUUAUAUGCCAGACACACGUAAGGAUGCAAGGGCCGCGUUCUCAUUCUAGUGGGUGGGGACAGAGAGUAAACAAAUUAUCUACUUAAUUUCAGAUAGUGGUAAGUGAUAGAAAAUAAAACGGGGUGAUAUUGUCAGAGGCGUUUGAACCAGAGCGACUCCAUUCCGAGUGAGGGCUAGGA
RNAcentral lists this long non-coding RNA (1915 nucleotides) under Homo sapiens (human). RNAcentral's name for it is "HSALNT0408107". Lineage: Eukaryota; Metazoa; Chordata; Mammalia; Primates; Hominidae. The record is from RNAcentral.